AAGUCUUACAACUGUAAGAAAAGUAUUGCUUUACAGUUUGCGGUGUUAAUUAUUUGGUGCUUUUUUUAAUAUAUAGUAACAGAGGAACUUUUAGCAAGAAGAAAUUGUAAAUCUCUUCAGUAGAAUUUCUUGAUGAUAUAAUAAUUUUAAUUAAGGAAAAGACCAUUAUAAAUUAAUUGCUUAGGAAGUAAUAAAGGUAGGUAUACUUUAUCAUAUUUACUAAUAUAAGAAGCCGCUCUUAAGUUUUUUUUCUUUGGUGGAAUUCAUAAUUUUUAGAACCAAGAUCAAAAGUAUCUGUGACCUAAAAUAAAAUAGCCUUUAAUUUGUCCAAACCUAGUCACUUUAGUUAAUAAUGUUAACGGUAAUAGCAUUAAUUUUUAAGAACAUAUCAUUGUGUUCCACGCACAGUGCUAAGUAUUUCAUGUGUAUUCUGAGAAAAAACUCUGAUCCUGGGCUCCUAACCUCUCUGUAUUUUUAGAGAAUCACUUUUCCUCCACUAUUUUCUGUGAGCUAAGGUAAUUAUUUUCCCUUUGAAUAUUAUAAUAUUUUGGCCUGAUUAGGGAUUUCAGAUUUAUUCCUUCAAAAUUUACAGGGUCUUUUUUUGUUUGUUUUGUUUUUUAUACUUUGCCUUCAAAAUGCUUUUAUUUCAGGGUAAAGUAAUAUGUCAAAUAGAGUAUAUUUCUUCAUAAACCAUUCAUGGGUAUCAUGAAAAAGAUAAAUUCUGAGUUUUUUAGUAAGGCCAACUAUAGAAUGUGAUGGCGUUACAGGAAUAGGUACAGAAUACAGGGAUAGCCCAGAGGAAGAAGUGAUUUACUCUACCUGGAAAAGAUCAUUGUGGAAUGGAAGUCAAAAAGAAACCAGAACUUCAAGGUUAAAGAUUUAUCUGUAUUUUCUUCUGUAAUGAAUAAAGAUCUUCUGAAAUUUGUGAGGUUGAAAUUCUAUAUUAACUGCUGCAUUCAUAAUUUUCAAUCAGUUACAUUAUACAUUAUAUUGUGUCACCCAGACCUUUCUGAAUGGUUUUAUACGUAUUUCCUUAGAUACCACUUACUAUGUAUAUGUCAAGAUAGAUAGAGGACUUCUUAACAUAGUAGAAAUAAUGUAUUUGGAUAAAAUCACUGUGGCAUCUGACACAAAUAGCAAAUAACCAGUUGCCACUUUCCCCUUAAGAGAUAUAUGUUUUUUUGGAAAAAGUAUAUGAUUUAUUUUUAAUUCAAGCUAUAAUGAUAUCUAAAGUUCAAAUAGUAAGCAUAUCAGUAUAAAAUGAUGUUUUGAAUAUUUGAGAAGAGGCAGCCAUCUUUUCAAUAGCAUUCUUAGAAA
This is a long non-coding RNA of Pipistrellus kuhlii (Kuhl's pipistrelle), 1317 nucleotides long. RefSeq lists it as uncharacterized. The record is from RefSeq and is a predicted model, not a curated record. The transcript is spliced from 2 exons. Lineage: Eukaryota; Metazoa; Chordata; Mammalia; Chiroptera; Vespertilionidae.